CCAACAUGGGGCUCAAACUCACGACCCUGAGAUCAAGAGUGGCAUACUGUACUGACUGAGCCAGCUGAGCACCCUAAACUUACUAACGUUUUAUUCAGCAUUGUCCAAUCUGCUGUUAAUCUCAUUCAGAGUAUCGUUCAUUUUAAGCAUUGCUUCUUUUUUCAUCUCCAGAAGUUUGAUUUGGGUCCUUUUAAGAUCUUACAUACCUCUUAUCAUGCUCACACUUUCCUCUAACUUUUUGAAGAUAUGGAGUUGUAUUAUAAUAGCUGUUUUAAUGUUCCUAAUUAAUUUAACUAAUUCUGUCACCUGUGUCAUUUCUGGGGCUGUUUCUAUUAAUUUUUUUUUCAUUAUAGGCUGUAUUUGCCUGCUUGCUGGAAUGCCUUCUAAUUUUUUAUUGCAUGCCAUUGUGCUGUGGUUUUCUUGUAUAAACAUUUUUGGGCUUUGUUCUGGGAUACAUUUAUGUUACUUGGAAACAGUUUGAGCCUUUCAAGUCUCACGUUUAAGCUUUGUUGGGCAGGUCCAGAAGAGCCCUUCAUUUACGGCUUAUUGGCCCAACUGCUAAGGUGAUAACCUUCUGAAGACUCUACUCGAUGCCCUACAUAUGAGGUCUUUCCACUCUAUCUGGUUGGAACACAAAUUAUUCCUGACCCAGUGUGACUCCCAAGUUUUGUUGUGCUUCUUCUUUUCCAGUGAUUUUUUUCCUCUGGCCCUGGUAGUUUUCUCACAUGCCUGUACCGAUCAGUACUCAGCUGAAGACUCAAGAGGUACUCUCCCAAGCUCUUCUUUUGUGCAGCUCUCUCCUCUGGUUUUCAACCUGAAAUUCUGAUGUUUUCACCUCCCAGAUCUUCCAACUCUGUUUCCUCUGCUCAGAGAGGUGACCGAGCUUUGCUUGGGUUCCUCCUCCCUAUGCUGCAGCCUGAAAAGAUCUCCCGCAGCCAGAGCAAUUACAGGAAUCACCUUGUUUAUUUCCUUCUCUGAAAAAUCUCUGUCCUGCACUGCCUGCUCUUUGAUCCCUGAAAACUAUGACUUCAUACAUUUUGUCCAGUUUCUAAAUUAUUUUAGGUGAGAGACUAAUUCUGGUCUCUGGUGAUAGCAGAUAUCAUACCAUAUAUUUUUUUUAUUUCCUAAUUUAAGUUUUUUGAAUCAUUUCUCAAGAUGGAGGAAGCUAAUAAAGUGGGAAAGACAAAAAAGCCUGAAAUGAACAAUUAAGAAACGCAAGAAACAAUCACAAUACUUUGACAAAAUGUAGUACUAGCUAAUAACUAAAUACCCAAAGCCUUUUAGAAAACAUGUCAAAAACCCUUUUAAUUAUUACCAUAUCUCAACUUUACAGCUUCAAGUAUUAAACAGACUCUAGCACUGGCAGCUUUUUGAAAACCCACCCUUCACUGCAAUUUUACCUGUGCCUCCUGAAAUACAGUCAACACAAUGCUGUGCUUUGGCUACUUGUGUUUUUUAAGAAUAAACCAAAAUCAGCAUUUUUAAUCAACCACAUUGGACCAGAUUGGGAGAGAAAGACUAAUGUGUUCCAAUUGCCUCGUUCCUCUUUAUGACCAAGCAGGAAGUUUCAGAUCAAACCUCCACCUCUCAGGAAGUUUACGUCAAAAUGAGUAUUGACAUCCUGUUUAAUAGAGUCUUAAAUUUUUUCCUCACUUCCAGACACUCACCAUUUGAAUUAAAAUGUUUGAGUAAUCUGUCCUGAAAUUAUGUUUCCUUUGACUCUCAGAAGACUAUGUCUAAGUGACAAAUGGAAUAUCUCUAUGACUAAUAAUGAUAAAAGUUAAAGGUUUUUUUUUUAGUAGUCAUGGAAAACUGUCCCUUGAGCUUCAAACUACUGUUGCUCUCCAGAGACAAUAAAUACCACACAUCUGUAGAAAAGUGGAUGUACUAAAUAAAUAUCUGAGGAGUUGAACCUGCCGCACAAACCAGCCCAGACCAAGACCAUCUCCAGAUGAGGCUGUCCCCUGCUGUACCUCAUUGAAGUGAUUGAUAGUUGAAGAAUCGUAAGGAAGAAGAGAGGGGUCAAAAGACCAUAAAGACAGAGCAACAUGAUUUUCAGCAAGGGAAGAAAGAAAUCGGGUCCUGGAAUACACAGGAUGAUCUGAAGACAUCUGAAGGUCUCUUCAGGCUGGCGGCCAUCCCUCAGCUCAGGGGCACAACCGGAAGGGCGCGCCCUGCAGGGGCUGGGUUGCUCUGGGCGGAGCGCUGGCCUCAGAGUUGCGUGGAUUGUGCAUGCGCGGAGGAUCCCGGCUCGGCUGGCUCGGCUCUGGAGGAGCAGGCGGUCACCAGGGAAGAAUGUGAGGUUGCGAAUAUGUGGAUCCAGGCCACAGGGGUGAGCAGGGCUCAGUGGGAGGGUGGACGCCUACCCUGGGUUUGUAGUCAGGGUCCUGGGGUUAACACUGGGCAGAAAACAAAAAUGACCUGCUCUGAGCUACCAGGAAAUUCCUUUAUUCCACAAGAGCUUCAGAAGACUCUCUAGACUCAGUUUCUCAUUAUAAAAGUCCUUCAUGGUAAAACCCAGGGCAGGGGUCCUGAUACCAGUUGUCCCCAAACCCAUUGCUGAAGCACAGCGCUCAUCUUUAGAGCUGGCUCCUUUUGGUAACAUCCUCUUUUUUGUUUUUUAAAUUCAGCCCCCAGUCCAGUUCUCUUUCCCACACUGAGGUCUUUUUUUAUACACCCCUAAAACGCUGUGGUAUAGAGUAUACUCAGCCUAUGAAAUACAAUCAACGUUAAAAGUGUCUCAUUGAGGGGCGCCUGGGUGGCUCAGUUGGUUGAGCGGCCGACUUCGG
This is a long non-coding RNA of Prionailurus viverrinus (fishing cat), 2789 nucleotides long. RefSeq lists it as uncharacterized. Lineage: Eukaryota; Metazoa; Chordata; Mammalia; Carnivora; Felidae. The transcript has 5 exons. The record is from RefSeq and is a predicted model, not a curated record.